GACGAACGCUGGCGGCGUGCCUAAUACAUGCAAGUCGAGCGGACUGAAUGGGAGCUUGCUCUUGUUCGGUCAGCGGCGGACGGGUGAGUAACACGUGGGCAACCUGCCCGCAAGACCGGGAUAACUCCGGGAAACCGGAGCUAAUACCGGAUAACACCGAAGACCGCAUGGUCUUUGGUUGAAAGGCGGCGCAAGCUGCCACUUGCGGAUGGGCCCGCGGCGCAUUAGCUAGUUGGUGAGGUAACGGCUCACCAAGGCGACGAUGCGUAGCCGGCCUGAGAGGGUGACGGGCCACACUGGGACUGAGACACGGCCCAGACUCCUACGGGAGGCAGCAGGAGGGAAGCUUCCGCAAUGGGCGAAAGCCUGACGGAGCGACGCCGCGUGAGCGAAGAAGGCCUUCGGGUCGUAAAGCUCUGUUGUGAGGGACGAAGGAGCGCCGUUUGAAGAAGGCGGCGCGGUGACGGUACCUCACGAGGAAGCCCCGGCUAACUACGUG
This 499-nucleotide ribosomal RNA is filed under the name uncultured bacterium. RNAcentral's name for it is "partial 16S ribosomal RNA". It matches the Rfam family "Bacterial small subunit ribosomal RNA", at positions 28 to 507 of the family's 1533-position model. The record is from RNAcentral.